Molecule: non-coding RNA, 2504 nt
Organism: Rattus norvegicus (Norway rat)
Lineage: Eukaryota; Metazoa; Chordata; Mammalia; Rodentia; Muridae
Source: RefSeq, a predicted model, not a curated record
UGGGCUUUCAGAGAGUUGCAUUAAGAGACGUGAGCAUAGUCAGCACAGUGGCCGCAGUGACAUAAGCAGGAGUUUUAAAGGACUAGGAAGACAGACUUCGCCUCACUCCGAGCAGAUGGGACGCUUCUCAGCCCCAGAGCCAGCUUUAUGCUUAUGGUCGUAAGCCAAAGGAUAUCCUCAUUCCCUCCCAAAGAUGCAGCCAUGCACGCCGAAAGCUACAAGGACCUUACUACACAGUGAACACUCUGUCGCUGUGAUGAGGUUAGUGAUCUUGAUAUGCAGAGAUCAUCCUAAAUUAUCUGAACGGGUCCAAUGUAUUCAUAAAGGUCCUAGUUGGGGACAGAAAGCCAAACACGGAGGCAAGGUACAGGGUCAGAUACAAAGACACUGGAGAUGCAGUGUCAGGCUGAGAGGGGUGGCUCAGUCGUUGAGCCCCCAGCCUGUGGAGCCACAAAGCAAGAGACCAACACUUAAGGGCUGUCCCCCGACCUCCACACAGGUGCCGUGAAACAUGUGUAGUACACACAUGCGCACGGGACCUACCCUACCAACAUCACGUACACAAAGAUGGGCAGCCACCAGCCACAGCUCACAAACAGGUGACCUCUAGGAGCUGGACAAGGAUGGAGGCGGAUUCUCCUCAGAGCCUGCAGGCGGAGCACAGCCUCAUCUCAGCUGACUUCAGCCUAGAGACACCCACUGGGACCCCUGACCCCAGAAAUGCAAGAUAACAGGCGUGUGCUCUUUUAUGCCCUCGGUUUGUGGUGACUUGUUGCAGCGUGAGACUCAGCGCCUGCCCUCUGAGCUCUGGGACAUGGCUGGUUCUACCUGAACACCAGACGUGCUUUCAUCGUUCACCCCUCACACCUCUCAGGUACGAUUUAUUCUCAUGUUCCAGGAGAGGAAAGUGAAGCCUGGUGAGGUUAAGGGACCUGCUGGCUGAGAAAGGAUUUCUGUCAGUGUACAGGAAGCGGGUGACUAAGAGUGGCCGGAUUCACCUGAUGCCCAGCUCAGCAAACAUCACAUCCCAUGGCAGGCUAUGCAGGUGCGUACUGGAGGGUGCCCCACCCAUAUGGUGUCCUGUGGGUUAGCUAUUCGUGCAGAUGAGACUCCAGCGUCCCUCCGUGGUGGAUGAAAGACAAAGUCCAGCCAACAGCAAGCAAAGGCUCCAAUGUAUAGAGGGACAAGGCGGUGUUUCCUUGGUAACAGGCCUGCAGGAGCUGGUUACUGAUGAGCACUUGGGGUCUUCCCAGCAGGUUCAAGUUCUGUUUCUGCUGCCCCAGACAACUUCUUCUCAGCUUAAAAGAGGUCAGCUUCCUACAGCAACGUGAGACUCCUGACUGACUCACUGACAGCUCUCUCUAGACUCAAGGGCAGCCAAGUGGGUCAACAACUGGAAUUGGGCUGCUCUGUGUACAACCUAGCCUGUCACUAACGAGCCUCAGGCUCCCCUCCUGUAAAAUGGGUGUGAGGAGAGCGCAGAUGCAGAGCCCCAAGCACAUCCAUGGCACAUUGAGGGUUUGACAGAUGUCAGCCAUUACUAUGACUAUUGGCAUUUUUAUUAAGAUCCCAGCAACUUUGCAAAUAGCACAUGCCUCACAGGCCUAAAACAGUUGCUUGAAAUGGUAACACUCAGGGGGCUGGAUGUGCUGUGCGCUGUUAUUCACAUCAAGACAAACAGUGAUUAUUCAUAGGAAUGGGCAACGGGGAUUAAAUCCAGAAAUAAACCUGCUUUUUUUUUAACUCUCACAUUGGGUUAGAAAUUUUAACACUUCUCACAAGCCUACUUCCUAGCCAAAAUAUAAGCGGGAGCGCACACGUGCAUGCACACACACACACACACACACACACACACACACACACACACACACACGUACACACACAUGCGCGCGCGUGCGCACAGAAAGAGCCCUGCCUCCGUAGGGUUUGCUUGGGGUAGUCUUAAGUUUCCCUCAUUCCACUGUGGUAGACAGACUAGAAGAGAAGGUCCAGGCCACCUGAGGAGACAGGGAUGAUCCCUGGUCCUUCUGUGAUCAAGGGCCAUCCAUUCAUCACAAAGGGACAUACAUCAUGGGUGACAGCCCAGGCCACACUUCUUUGCACCUGGGGGCAAGCUAGCCUUUUUAGAAAUACGACUGCGUGUGCUUCAUGAUGCUGGGGUGGGAUGUGGCUCACUUAAGGACACACGGGGGCAGGGCUCCAGCAGAGCUUAAAGUUGAAUGUUCGCUGGUUUGAGUACAAAACAGAGUGCUUACUCGCCAAAAAAGAGAGGAAGAAAAAGUGUUUCUAGGUCACUGGUUAAUAGGGCCCAGAAAGCCAGAGCCAAGCACCCGCAGGGGACAACGUGCAGUCACCCCGUGUCCGGCUAUUCACUCUGCUGUUUUGAUGCCUGACAAAUGUUCACAUUUAAGAGUUCUAAGUAUGCCAAUUAAGAGCUCUUCAGACUAAAUAUACUAAAGAAACCUUUCUCUUUUAAGAAUAAAUAAAAACCACAUCUAAAAAAA